CUUUUACUUGUUUCGUUAGUUAUUGUUCUUGGUGCAUGAGUAGCCCAGAUAAAGUAGAGUUUAUCUUGACUCCACUCAUUUUAUUUCUUGUGCUAGAUACUUUAUCCACUUAAUCUUCGAUAUGCUCACUUCCGUAUCUAUACAGUCUCCCGUUGUUAUUCAUGAUAACUAGCAGAUACUAUAUGCCAUGUUUACCUGUUUGACUACUGUUUAUUUAUGCUUAGAAUUGAGCAUGCGGAUUCAUGUAGCAUACCUGAUUUUUGUAUAUAUAUGAUGACUGUUGCAUUAUUCGCAUCAUGUCAUGCAUGCAUCGCCGAUGACCUUGGCUCCCUUGUGGUUGAGACGGUUAUUGGACAAAGUCGUACGCUCAGCCACUCAUGGGUAGUGGCGGCUGGAGCGUGCCGCGUGUCCUGUCGCGCUGCACUCGGUCACUCAUGGGUAGUGGCGGCUAGAGUUGUGAGCCGUAGGGACCCUAUUGCUAUGUAGCUAUUUAGCUACUAUGCUAACUGUCCACUCGGUCACUCGAGAGUAGUGGCGGCUGGAGUGUUGUACAGUUGUCAUCGAUCCGGCCUCUCGACCAUACAGGGGUCGUGGUGCAGAGAGGUGGGCGGGGUGACCAUCCGUGCAUACGUUGGUUCUAUUAUACCUGCUUCUGCUAUUAUACCACUCCUGCUACUACUGACUGGAUGAGGGAUAGAGCGCAUAUACCACUGUUGGCAAGGUCCGUCAAGGACAGGGUUACUCUAUACCAGGGCGGAGCAUACCCCUGGGCUUCUCGUAGCUGGUUGAAGAAUUUGGGAAGCACAUCGAUCUAGAUUUGCGAUUCAUCCAGGAGGUACUCGCAUGUACAGGGAUCUGAAACGAUCAUACUGGUGGAAUGGUAUGAAGAAGGAUAUUGCGACAUUUGUGGCGCAGUGUUUAGUUUGUCAGCAGAUUAAGGCAGAGCAUCAGAGACCAGCUAGGUUACUGCAGAAGAUAGAAAUACCAGAAUGGAAAUGGGAGCAUAUCACGAUGGACUUUGUGGUAGGACUACCCCGGACCCGGAAGGGUCAUGAUGCGAUUUGGGUAAUCGUUGAUCGGUUAACCAAAUCUGCACACUUCUUACCGAUCCGUCGGACGGAUUCGUUGGAUCGAUUGGCGGAGUUGUACUGCAGAGAGAUCACUAGAUUGCAUGGUAUACCUCUGAGUAUUAUAUCAGAUAGAGAUCAACAAUUUACCUCUCGAUUUUGGUGGAGUCUCCAGCAGGCCAUGGGUACAGAACUCCGUUUUAGUACAGCAUUUCACCCUCAGACGGAUGGGCAGUCGGAACGUACUAUCCAGACAUUGGAGGAUCUAUUGAGAUCUUGUGUCAUGGACUUCGGCGGUAGCUGGGAGGAUCAUUUGCACUUGGUGGAGUUUGCAUACAAUAACAGUUACCACUCAGCGAUUCAGAUGGCACCAUUCGAAGCAUUAUAUGGCAGAGCAUGUAGAUCUCCUACUUUGUGGGAUGAGGUUGGAGAAUCGUCAGUCUUGGGGCCUCAGCGUAUUCAGCGAGAUGCAGAGUUGGUUAGCACCAUCAGACGCAGAAUGUCAGAAGCCCAGGACCGACAGAAAAGCUAUGCAGAUUAGAGACGGAGACCUUUAGAGUUUUCUGUGGACGAUCAUGUGUUCCUGCGAGUGUCUCCUACCAAGGGAGUGAGGAGGUUUGGAUUAAAAGGGAAGUUAGCUCCUCGUUACAUCUGUCCCUUUCAGAUACUUGAGAGGAUCGGUGAGGUAGCAUAUCGACUGGCGCUGCCACCUUUACUUGCCGGGGUGCAUGAUGUAUUUCACGUAUCCAUGUUGAGGAAAUAUGUACCACACCCUAUGCAUAUUUUGACAGAUGUCCCGAUCACCCUUCAGCCAGAUGUAACAUAUGAGGAGGUUCCAGUGCGGAUAUUGGAUCGCAAGGAACGCCAGCUGCGGAAUAAGACCAUCCGACUGGUCAAGGUUGGAUGGGAGCAUCAUUCCGAUGACGAGCCAACCUGGGAGCUGGAGGAUGAGAUCCGAGCGCGAUACCCACGGAUGUUUGAUGAAGGUAUGUAAGUUAUUUCAUUUAAUGAUUGACUUCGCAUGUCGUUGGUCAUUUAUUGCAUUUAUGUUGUAAAUUUGGGGACCAAAUUAUUAUUAGAGGGAGAGAAUGUGAGAUACGGCAAAAUAAAAUAACCUAUAAUGAUUAUUGGGAAUUUUUAGACAUUUUUCUGGAUUUAUUUGGAGGACUUAUGACAGGGUUUAAGUGGAUAAAUUAUUGGGCUUAAGAUGUAGUGGAAAUCAUGAUAAUGGAGGACUACUUAAGGGUUGUGGGAACUUAACCUAACCCAAACCCUACUGCUUAUAAGAAGCUAUAGUGCUAGCCCUAAAUCGUCGUUUUCCCUUAUUCCUCCGAACCUUCUGCCUUCGUCGAUUUCCUCACCCUUUCCUCCCGAUUUUGCCUACGAAACCCAGCUCCGACGCACGACCGCGUCUGAUCGCCGGCUCCUUGUAGCGAGACGAGCCUCCGACUUCCUCGACAUCUCCGUAGAGGUCUCACCGGCGAUGUCCUUCCUCAAACACGCCACUUCGCCAGGGAAUCUCCGGUCAGGUGGCGAGAUCUGGAUCCUGUGGAGGCGGGAGUCGAGUAGUUAGUUCUAGAGCUCAUCGUGGUUGAGGACUGCGCUCCCAGCGGUGGUUUAUCCACCCGAGCUCUAAGGCUGAGGUUCUCCGUCAAGAUUCCUUUGUCGACUGUGAGGAAUUUCGUCAUUGAGUGGCUUGCUCUGAGGGGCUCGACCACAACUCUCAGCAGCUGUUCUUCACCUGGGAAACAUCAGGUUUGAUAACGAAUCCUACGUUUAGAGUGGGGAUCAGAUCUGAGAUUGUGGGAGGUGAUUAAGGUAGCUGAUAGCGAUACUAGUACACAUGGAGGAGGAUCCCGACUGUCGGUCCCACAUCACUUCCGAUGACGGUUUUAUGGUUUUGGUUUUCAUUUUAUUGUGAGUUAAACCUUUGAAUUUAGCAUUGUAAUAAUUGAGCUGUGGACUUGUUAUUUUGUAUUUGAUUGUUUUGUCGA
This is a long non-coding RNA of Zingiber officinale, 3061 nucleotides long. RefSeq lists it as uncharacterized. The record is from RefSeq and is a predicted model, not a curated record. The transcript is spliced from 4 exons. NCBI's taxonomy places the organism in Eukaryota, Viridiplantae, Streptophyta, Magnoliopsida, Zingiberales, Zingiberaceae.